RNAcentral lists this long non-coding RNA (233 nucleotides) under Solanum tuberosum (potato). RNAcentral describes it as "long non-coding RNA (STUB_LNC001504)". The record is from RNAcentral. Lineage: Eukaryota; Viridiplantae; Streptophyta; Magnoliopsida; Solanales; Solanaceae.
GAUAUAACAUAUGUGUUUUUACUUUUGUAUUCUGUAAUAACAUAUGAAAUUGUUUUACAAUAAUAUAUGUAUUUUUACUUUUGUAUGAAUUUUGUAAGCAUAAAAAUGGUAUGAAAUUUGUAUAUUGAUAUAACAUAUGUAUAAAAGUUAUUUGUACUUUUGUAUGAUAUAAUAUUGACACAAUAAUUUAUGAUGAAACAGAAAAAUAUGCAAUUCAAAAAGUGUCGGAGCAG